UAGGGAAUCUUCGGCAAUGGACGAAAGUCUGACCGAGCAACGCCGCGUGAGUGAAGAAGGUUUUCGGAUCGUAAAACUCUGUUGUUAGAGAAGAACAAGGACGUUAGUAACUGAACGUCCCCUGACGGUAUCUAACCAGAAAGCCACGGCUAACUACGUGCCAGCAGCCGCGGUAAUACGUAGGUGGCAAGCGUUGUCCGGAUUUAUUGGGCGUAAAGCGGGCGCAGGCGGUUUCUUAAGUCUGAUGUGAAAGCCCCCGGCUCAACCGGGGAGGGUCAUUGGAAUCUGGGAGACUUGAGUGCAGAAGAGGAGGGUGGAAUUCCAUGUGUAGCGGUGAAAUGCGUAGAUAUAUGGAGGAACAUCAGUGGCGAAGGCGGCUCUCUGGUCUGUAACUGACGCUGAGGCUCAAAAGCGUGGGGAGCAAACAGG
RNAcentral lists this ribosomal RNA (429 nucleotides) under Gemmatimonadota bacterium. Its description in RNAcentral is "Gemmatimonadetes bacterium partial 16S ribosomal RNA". It matches the Rfam family "Bacterial small subunit ribosomal RNA", at positions 355 to 776 of the family's 1533-position model. Lineage: Bacteria; Pseudomonadati; Gemmatimonadota. The record is from RNAcentral.